This 1381-nucleotide long non-coding RNA is filed under the name Citrus sinensis (sweet orange). RNAcentral's name for it is "long non-coding RNA (CSIN_LNC003884)". Lineage: Eukaryota; Viridiplantae; Streptophyta; Magnoliopsida; Sapindales; Rutaceae. The record is from RNAcentral.
AUAUUUAAUGUAAGAAGACUUACAAAUACUCAAUGAAAGGCCGAUUUCUUCUUAAAUUUUCAUUUUCCUGGCUCACAUUAUCAUUCUCCUUGAAAUCAUUCUCAUUACCCUCAUCUACAUUUUCAGCCAUUUUCGAGUUUACAAGAACCUGUACAUGAAGAUUUAGCACAAAAAGAAAUGUCAAAUAUCACAAGUUUUGGAUCCUGUAAAACAAUAGAAACUUUAACCCAAAAGCAGUAAUAAAUUUAUCCAGAAACAGCAAAAAAUGUAACUAAAAAACAGUAGUAAAUUUUACCCAAAAACAACAAAAAAUUUAACCCAAAUACAGCAGCAAAUGAAGCCCAAAACACCAAAAAAAUUUACAUGUAAACAGCAAAAAAUUUAGCCAAAAAAAGUCGUAAAUUUAUCCAAACAGCAACAAAUUUACCCAGAAAAGAGGACAUGAUUAUUGAUGUUGGCUUAAUUCUGCGGGCAUUGAGAGUUAAAAGAAGAGAGAGAGAGAUGAUGAAAAAAUAGAAAAUUCAUUCUAUAGUUUCUGUGCUCCUCUCUCUCUCUCUCACAUCAUGCCCGAGGACGAAAACAGAGUAAAGAUGCAAAAUUGUGCACAGAAGGAAUAUUAUAUCAGAUAAUAUAAAAUUGAAUGAGAGAUCUGGAACUAAAUUCUGCUGUACCGUACAUCCGCCUUGGCCGUACAGCAGCUGGAGCGCAUCUAGUUUCCAUGGCUUUCUGAGUUCCCUUCACGAAAUCAUCUUCUUUGCCUUUAUUCCGUGUUGUAUCACUACCAACCAUUCUAAAUUUAGCCUUCUCUUCUUCACUCAAGUUUUUGAAACAUUUCCCUAAUUUAAUUCUAUCCUAAAAAAUUAAAAAAAAAUGACAAUCAGUUAUUGCUUGUAACACGUCCCAAAUUUAAUGGAAAUUAAUUAUCGCACCUACACUCACCACUUUUUUUCCUUGUUCCCGUAAUAUUUUUGCUUCUUGCUUGCUGCAGUCAAUUAUAAAUAUUUUGAAAAAAAAAUAUAUAAUCAGUGCACAUUAACAUUAUAGUGAUUGGCUUUACUAAAUAUUCAUAAAUUUACCAACAGUCAAAAAUAUAAUAUUUAAUGUAAGAAGACUUACAAAUACUCAAUGAAAGGUCGAUUUCUUCUUAAAAUUUCACUUUCUUGGCUCACAUUAUCAUUCUCCUUGAAAUCAUUCUCGUUACCCUCAUCUACAUUUUCAGCCAUUUUCGAGUUUACAAAAACCUGUACAUGAACAUUUAGGCACAAAAAGAAAUGUCAAAUAUCACAAGUUUUGGAUCCUAUAAACCAACAGAACAUUUAACCCAAAAACAACAAUAAAUUUAUCCAAAAAUAGCAAACAAUUUAACCUAAAAACAACAAUA